AGAGUUUGAUCCUGGCUCAGAACGAACGCUGGCGGCAGGCUUAACACAUGCAAGUCGAACGGACGUAGCAAUACGUCAGUGGCGCACGGGUGAGUAACGCGUGGAUAUCUGCCUUUUGGUUCGGGAUAACCUUGGGAAACUAGGGCUAAUACCGAAUGGUUCCUACGGGAUAAAGAUUUAUCGCCAAAAGAUGAGUCCGCGUCCGAUUAGCUAGUUGGUGGGGUAACGGCCCACCAAGGCGACGAUCGGUAGCUGGUCUGAGAGGGCGACCGGCCACACUGGGACUGAGACACGGCCCAGACUCCUACGGGAGGCAGCAGUGGGGAAUAUUGCGCAAUGGGCGAAAGCCUGACGCAGCGACGCCGCGUGAGGGACGAAGGCCUUCGGGUUGUAAACCUCUUUCAGCAGGGACGAAGCGAAAGUGACUGUACCUGCAGAAGAAGCACCGGCUAACUACGUGCCAGCAGCCGCGGUAAUA
Molecule: ribosomal RNA, 478 nt
Filed under: uncultured bacterium
Lineage: Bacteria
Description: bacterial SSU rRNA
Rfam family: Bacterial small subunit ribosomal RNA
Source: RNAcentral